UUGCUAAACAAAAUAACAAAAGGUUAAAUUUGCACGUUCCGUAGUUCCUUUUUCGGCUGGCCUCUUCCGGCCUUGGGUGCAACUGGUAAUUCACGUGUGCGUGCGCGUCCGGCCAUCCCCCGUUCCCUGGGCCAGCUGAGGCGAAGCGUAAAUCCCCCGGGGGAACUGGUGGCCGAAUAUGUGAGGCUAGCAGGCAGUCGCGUGUGUUGUGUAUAUGUGGUGACCCAGCAUCGCGGACACAAGGACACAUUCUCGAAGCGAAGUGGUUGUUACACCACCGUGUCCGGGGGGGGACAAGGGCGUAGAAGCUUCCGUUCGCCGCCGUGUGUGUGUGUGUUUGUUUGUGUCUGUUUGUUCGCUCGUUCGCGACAGGGCGUGUGCGAAGUGGCCUUCCGGGCUUACCGUUCUUAAUGAUUGGCCCCACACCGACGGCUCGUCGCACCGAUUGCGCGCCCGACUGCACGGCCGAUCCUUUUUCGGUGCGCUGCGCGUACAUUGGUUGUGACUGGUUGGGCGAUCUUUUCUAACAUCCUUCCUCUCAGCACGUCCCCGCCCAGGCACCCCUCAUCUUUGCCCCUAUUAACACACCACACACACAUACACAUUCAAAAGCACAGGAAGAGGCGCGGUAGACGCGGUAGAAGAUUAGCAAGUGUUACGUUCGGCAAGCCACCCUCUCCUCCGCGCUUGCUUCCAACCUCGCAACCUUCGGCCUCCCUUUCCACUUCCUCGCUGACACGGUGCAAGCAAUGAACAGCAGCUUCCCAGCGGCAAUACCGUACUCAAACGAUGGUGGCCACCGUAGCAAGCCGACGAGCGCAACCCACAACAACAACGGCUCGUGCGUGAACGAUGCGCACGGCAGCGACGAGGACGAGGAGCAGGCGCACGGGCAGGAUCGGUUCGCGUUUGCCUGCGAUGAGCCGCCGCCGGACGGUCGGUUGCAGCCGUCCGACAGCCUGGAGGACGACCUGGAAGAGGUGUACAGGACGUGCAACACGCAGUCGGCGGUGGAGUGGAUCAACGACGACGAUGAGCUGGAGCGGUUGGAUCUGCCGCUCGAAUCGCUCGACCCCACCGGUGGUGGCACGGUCUUCAACCGGGUGGACAGCUCGGACAUCAUCUACCAGGAGAAGAAGAAAAAGUGCAAGCUGGUCGGCAAGUACGUGAUGGGGGACGUGCUUGGCGAGGGAAGCUACGGCAAGGUGAAGGAGGUGCUCGAUUCCGAAACGCUUAAUCGACGGGCGGUGAAGAUACUCACCAAACGCAAACUACGACGCAUUCCAAAUGGCGAGCAGAAUGUGCGGAGCGAGAUCAAGCUGCUGCGCAAGCUGCAGCACCGGAACGUGAUCGAGCUGCUGGACGUGCUGUACAACGAGCAGAAGCAGAAGAUGUAUCUGAUCAUGGAGUACUGCGUCGGGGGGCUGCAGGAGAUGCUGGACUCGGUGCCGGACAAGCGGCUACCGAUACACCAGGCGCACGACUACUUCGUCCAGCUGCUGGACGGGCUGGAGUAUCUGCACGGUCGCGGCAUCAUACACAAGGACAUCAAGCCGGGCAAUCUGCUGCUAACGCUGGACCACACGCUGAAGAUUUCCGACUUUGGUGUGGCGGAGGCACUGGACACUUUCGCACCCACGGACGAAUGCACGACCGGGCAAGGUUCGCCCGCCUUUCAGCCGCCGGAAAUAGCGAACGGACACGAGGUAUUCUCAGGAUUUAAAGUUGAUAUCUGGAGCACGGGCGUUACACUGUACAAUAUAACUACCGGAUUGUAUCCGUUCGAAGGUGAUAAUAUUUAUAAACUGUUAGAAAACAUAGGCAAAUGUGAAUGGAAUCCGCCGGAAUGGUUAGAGCCGCGGCUGGCCGACUUGCUCGUAAACAUACUGCAGGCGGAUCCCCGAAGACGCUUCACCCUGCAGCAGAUCCGGCACCAUGAAUGGUUCCAGUUUGCACCGGAUGCGACCAGCCCCCUCGUACCGAUACCACCGUUGAAAGGCGAUUGGAAUAGAUGUUCCACCGUGCUGCCUUACCUGAUAGCUCAUCACUAUGGAAACGAUCGUGACAUGCCGUACUACACCGAGCACGACAUUAAUGAAAUGGCACGGCAACAGUACGAUUCGUACACGGAGGGUGGACUGUACGACCGUGCCUACCUGCCCGCACCGACCAUGGACUCCCUGUCGUUUCACACCGACGACCAGGGCAGCGAGACGGGCCUAAGGCGUGCCUACUACAACCAGCCGAACAGUGGCAGCGGUCGUUCGACGGUCGAGAAGCGUCCGUCCCGCAGCUUCUCGCUGUCGCCGAAGCCGAGCAUCCGGCACAUGAUCGGCACCAGCUGCCCGGCCACGACGGCCAACAGCAGCAGCAGCAGCAGCGGCAAGCGGCGCUCGCGCAAAACUGUUUCGUGCAUAUCUUGGCGCAAGUGGCCCCAUUGCCGGCAGUCCUGAAUACUCCCCCGCCCCGAGGGGUUGGUGGUGUGCGGUAAGCGGUGGUGGAUAGAUGUUGUAUAUGUUUUUGUUCAUUCUGUUCGUAUCAGUACUAAGUUUUACUUUUGAAUAAGCUAAGCCGGUGGUAAACCAGGACGACACAGACCUCAGAUGACGCCGAGACGCGACGCGGCAGGAUCGGAAGAGCAAAAAAUUAAAAGUGAAUCAAUGCAAGGAAUUAUUAUUUAAACUCAGGUUUCGUUAGGCAUCCGGGUGCGUGCGCAACCCGACGGUGCGCAGAAUGCAAUCACGCAAGGAUGUGUGCGCAAGGAGGAUUGUUUGCGAAGCGUGAAUGAUGCGUGAAUUUGCCGAUCACGUUUCAAGUAGCUAGUGUAUUUUUUUGAAUUCCACAGUCAAACAAAAAAAUCUCCCAACAAUACAAUUAAUGCAUCAUUUUGCGUUUUCAAGCUGUGUAUAGUAGUUAGGUUGCAAGGCGGUAGAUCUUUGCAUCAGUUUUCCGUUUAAAUGCCUGCCCUCGAGCGUGUCCUCGUACCAUCCGCAAGUCGCAUGUGCUCGCAACAGUGUGCUGAGGCUGGUCAUAGAUGCGUUAAAGUGUAUUACGAUUUUCUUUUGUUUCAUUUUUCUCCAAUUCUAUAUUGUAACCAAAGCGAUUCAGCAAUCCAUUAUUGCUUCACUGCAGGUGUAAAGUUGUACAGUUUGCUUUGCCAAUAGCUGCUGUACCACAGCGAUUGUGUCUUGCCUUUUGCGAUGGAGUUGGCACGGUGGUGCUGCGCACUGUCGGAUUCGUUUGCGUAUCAAUCUCAGGCGGCAUCUUGACGAUCGAUCCUCCCGCCGCUGGCCCACUCCACUGCUUAUGUGAUGUGGCAGUAGCAUAAGCCCUCAGUUUCUCAGUCAUCUAGCAGCGAGCUAUUAUUAUAGAUAAUAAUAAUGGGAUAGGAAUGUUCGAGAAUGGCCGAACCGUUAACAGCGAUGUAAAUCGACCCGCGGUCGAAGUUUCCUAGUCACGGUAAGAAAUCAUUUCGAGUGGGUACAGGCGCAACAAACAUGUUCUCUCGUAGAAAGUGAUUCUGAACUAAGGAAGUGUGAAGGAAGGGGGGGAAAUGGGAGCACGAAGAGAGCGGGGGGCCUAGUACAGUUUGUAAUUUAUGCGAAGUGAAUCGAUCAAAAAAGCGUUACACAUUUCGGUAGCAGCAUGCAACUAUCGCAUUGCAUAUUUUGCAUCCAAAACCAGUCUUCCUUGCCAUAAUGAGACACAGAGACAAACACGAGACAAACACGAGAAAAAGUAGAAAACGCCACGCAUGGGCUAAUUGCCUUACGUUUGUUGUUGGUGGGCUUUACACGUCCGAUACGCCGGCGCGGAAAAUAUACAUUACAAAUUAAAGCGUUUUGCUCCAGCAAGAGAGCCGGGCUCACUGUUAGCGCCAUGUAGACAGAGCACGUGCUGUAAAGAUGCAUACACACAUACACAGACACAGACACAGAAAGCCUCAUUGCCAUAUAGCAAAAACCAGCAAAAUGUUCGUAGUUUAGUUCGCAGUUGCAUACACAGGACAGAAUGGAUCGAUGCGUCCGGAAUUGAUGCGCCGUUAAUAACAAGCCGAUGCAAGCAAUUAGUUAAGCCUAAGCCUGCUUAAGCGACCCACAAACAAACACAUCCACAAAACGUGGUGAGAUCACACACACACACGACACUAAUAGAGAGCGAGCGAGAGGACGAUAUACUUUUUUUAAAAUAUAAAUUAUCAUUAAAGAAACAGAAUUGAAAAAUGACUUGAAAAUAAAAACAAUCGUUUGUGUGUAAGAGAGAAAAUAGUUUGUACACCGUACAGCCGUUUGGUGUUUUAUCGCUUGUUUGCUAGAGCAUGCGUGUGUGUUGGUUUGGUCCAUCUAGUUAACUAGGAGUUUCAAGUCCUUUUCAAACAAGCUGUCAGCGUCACAGCAGGCCAACGGAAUCCACAACGUUCAAUCAAGCAUACCACACGCUCCCACCAUGGAGGCUAGCAGUGGCAGUAAAAUACGACCGCUGGUACAGUUUGACAUUGACGCCCGGCUAAAGAGCAUCAAGCGGAUAUGCACCGAGCUGGCGGCCAGCGAACGAUGGUGUGAGGAUAAACUGUCCAACAUAAGCCGAUUGCAUCGCACAAUGCUGGAAAUGAUGAAGGACGACAAUGUGAGCAUACCGCCCGGAAUGAUGAUAGUGGACCAUCCGGACGGUGAGUCGGAAGCAGUGGCGGUAAUGCGGCUACUGCAGCUGCUGCUUGAACAGAAGCGCUCUCUGGAGGAGAAAACCCAACGGCUGGAGGCAGCUAUUAGAGCGUUUAAGGAGCAGUUUGAAAAACUAUUUUAACGAUGGCGAAGUAGGAGGGUAGUAUUGUGGAA
Molecule: RNA transcript, 4835 nt
Organism: Anopheles arabiensis
Lineage: Eukaryota; Metazoa; Arthropoda; Insecta; Diptera; Culicidae
Gene: Lkb1
Gene name: serine/threonine-protein kinase stk11
Exons: 7
Source: RefSeq, a predicted model, not a curated record